AAAGCACCGGGAUCCACCUUUGCCAUAACAAAAGGACACUGACAUCCAAUCAGGAUUGAGGUCGCUGUGGGCGGGACCUGGAACAGCGACAGCCAAUGACAGUAAAGAAGCGAAGCUAAGCAGCGCUGGUGAAGCGGCUCGUCAGGUUUAUUAGGAAACCUGACAAUUGGAGUGAGAAUCCCAGUGUGGAAAAUCAGGAAAGAGGCUGGUAUGAGCGACAGAGAAGUCAUUCAGGAAAGAGGUUAUUGAAUUCAUUGGAGAAUGAAUGCUGUUCUGAAUUUGUAUCUUAAGGGAAAUACUACAAAAUGUUGCAGAAGGUGCUGGAUGGAUAUCUAAAGUUCAAAAAGGAAGAGAACCACACGAGCUGGAGAUUCAGGAAGCAUCAGUAGAAGUCAAUGGCCAUUAAUAAAAACAUUUUUUAUUAAAA
Molecule: long non-coding RNA, 427 nt
Organism: Pan troglodytes (chimpanzee)
Lineage: Eukaryota; Metazoa; Chordata; Mammalia; Primates; Hominidae
Exons: 3
Source: RefSeq, a predicted model, not a curated record